CGAACUGCCGUUGACAAAACGGAGGAAGUGGGGAUGACGUCAAAUCAUCAUGCCCCUUAUGUUCUGGGCUACACACGUGCUACAAUGGCCGGUACAGACGGAGGCGAAGCCGCGAGGCGGGGCAAAUCCGAAAAAGCCGGUCUCAGUUCGGAUUGCAGGCUGCAAUUCGCCUGCAUGAAGUCGGAAUCGCUAGUAAUCGCAGGUCAGCAUACUGCGGUGAAUACGUUCCCGGGCCUU
This 237-nucleotide ribosomal RNA is filed under the name uncultured Pelotomaculum sp. RNAcentral describes it as "partial 16S ribosomal RNA". It matches the Rfam family "Bacterial small subunit ribosomal RNA", at positions 1145 to 1382 of the family's 1533-position model. Lineage: Bacteria; Bacillati; Bacillota; Clostridia; Eubacteriales; Desulfotomaculaceae. The record is from RNAcentral.